RNAcentral lists this unclassified non-coding RNA (259 nucleotides) under uncultured fungus. Its description in RNAcentral is "partial contains 5.8S ribosomal RNA, internal transcribed spacer 2, and large subunit ribosomal RNA". The stretch from base 1 to 52 matches the Rfam family "5.8S ribosomal RNA", at positions 103 to 154 of the family's 154-position model. Lineage: Eukaryota; Fungi. The record is from RNAcentral.
AACGCACAUUGCGCCCGCCAGUAUUCUGGCGGGCAUGCCUGUUCGAGCGUCAUUUCAACCACUCAGGCCCUGGUGCCUGGCGUCGGGGCUUCUUAUAGAUCCCCUAGAAUCAGUGGCGGACCCGCCGCGGCUCCGAGCGUAGUAGUAAAAUAUCUCGCUAUGGAGGUCCGUGGGGGGCUUACCGGCCGUAAAAGCUUUCUCUCACGAGAAAAUUCUCAAGGUUGACCUCGGAUCAGGUAGGAAUACCCGCUGAACUUAA